UGCGUAGGCGGUCUUUCAAGCCAGAAGUGAAAGGCUACGGCUCAACCGUAGUAAGCUUUUGGAACUGUAAGACUUGAGUGCAGGAGAGGAGAGUAGAAUUCCUAGUGUAGCGGUGAAAUGCGUAGAUAUUAGGAGGAAUACCAGUAGCGAAGGCGGCUCUCUGGACUGUAACUGACGCUGAGGCACGAAAGCAUGGGGAGCAAACA
This 206-nucleotide ribosomal RNA is filed under the name uncultured bacterium. Its description in RNAcentral is "partial 16S ribosomal RNA". It matches the Rfam family "Bacterial small subunit ribosomal RNA", at positions 568 to 774 of the family's 1533-position model. The record is from RNAcentral.